CAAGAGUGAGCACUUCACCACUCAGCAGAUGACGACCAACCAAGGUGAAAUGCAACAAUUCAAGGCCUCAAGCCAAGCUAAACUGGACGAACAAAGGGAUGCUAUCAUUAAGCUCAAGGCCGCUCUGGAAAAGUCUGAGCAGGACCUGAAGGCCGGUCAUCUCCAGUGGCAACAGGAAAAGGUUUCCCUCAAAGAACACUGUGUCCACUUAUCUCAUUCUGAGGGUCAACACAUGGGCACGCAGACCCAUGCAGUUGAUCAAGAGAUGGACGAACAGAGAGAGGAGACAAUCAGGAUCUUAGCCACUCUAAAAGCAACACAGGACGAGCUCCAAGCUGAGCGGAUGAAGGGAGAAAAACAGGCCCUUCAAAAUGACAUGGAGGCUAUGAUGUUGAAGGUCCGUGCUGAAUUGAAGCUGGCUAAAACUAACAGAGGAGACAAUCAGGAUCUUAGCCACUCUAAAAGCAACACAGGACGAGCUCCAAGCUGAGCGGAUGAAGGGAGAAAAACAGGCCCUUCAAAAUGACAUGGAGGCUAUGAUGUUGAAGGUCCGUGCUGAAUUGAAGCUGGCUAAAACUAACGUGGAGUUUGAAUUGGAGAGCCAACUGGAAAAUGAGAGGGCUCAAACAAAGGAGCAACAAAUUGAAAUAUCAAAGUUGGCAGAAGCUCUUAAAAACAAAGAGGAGGCAGUAAAGCAAGUAAAGGAAUUAUUCCAGGCUUUCCAAGAGGACACGAUGAGCAAACAGAGAGCGGAAAGAGACAAGAUGGCUGCAGCCCUGAAAGCAUCACAGGACCUUCUCAAGAGUGAGCACUUCACCACUCAGCAGAUGACGACCAACCAAGGUGAAAUGCAACAAUUCAAGGCCUCAAGCCAAGCUAAACUGGACGAACAAAGGGAUGCUAUCAUUAAGCUCAAGGCCGCUCUGGAAAAGUCUGAGCAGGACCUGAAGGCCGGUCAUCUCCAGUGGCAACAGGAAAAGGUUUCCCUCAAAGAACACUGUGUCCACUUAUCUCAUUCUGAGGGUCAACACAUGGGCACGCAGACCCAUGCAGUUGAUCAAGAGAUGGACGAACAGAGAGAGGAGACAAUCAGGAUCUUAGCCACUCUAAAAGCAACACAGGACGAGCUCCAAGCUGAGCGGAUGAAGGAAGAAAAACAGGCCCUUCAAAAUGACAUGGAGGCUAUGAUGUUGAAGGUCCGUGCUGAAUUGAAGCUGGCUAAAACUAACGUGGAGUUUGAAUUGGAAAGUCAACUGGAAAUUGAGAGGGCUCAAACAAAGAAGCAACAAAUUGAAAUAUCAACGUUGGCAGAAGCUCUUAAAAACCAGCAGGAGGCAGUAAAGCAAGUAAAGGAAUUAUUCCAGGCUUUCCAAGAGGACACGAUGAGCAAACAGAGAGCGGAAAGAGACAAGAUGGCUGCAGC
Long non-coding RNA from Gasterosteus aculeatus aculeatus (three-spined stickleback), 1423 nucleotides. The record is from Ensembl. Lineage: Eukaryota; Metazoa; Chordata; Actinopteri; Perciformes; Gasterosteidae.